RNAcentral lists this ribosomal RNA (292 nucleotides) under uncultured bacterium. RNAcentral describes it as "partial 16S ribosomal RNA". It matches the Rfam family "Bacterial small subunit ribosomal RNA", at positions 505 to 796 of the family's 1533-position model. The record is from RNAcentral.
GUGCCAGCCGCCGCGGUAAUACGGGGGGAGCGAACGUUGUUCGGAAUCACUGGGCGUAAAGGGCGCGUAGGCGGCCUCGUAAGUGGGAUGUGAAAGGCCCUGGCUCAACCAGGGACGUGCCUCCCAUACUGCGAGGCUUGAGUGCAGGAGAGGAUGGGGGAAUUCCCGGUGUAGCGGUGAAAUGCAUUGAUAUCGGGAGGAACACCAGUGGCGAAGGCGCCCAUCUGGCCUGUAACUGACGCUCAGGCGCGAAAGCUGGGGGAGCAAACAGGAUUAGAUACCCCAGUAGUCC